CUUCAAAUCGUGACCCAACAACGUGAUCCAAGUUGCAACCCAAGAUCCAUCAAUCGUUAGUGUGUACUCUCUCAUCUAUAUCUUGUUCCGUACUCUAGUCGCCCAGGUGGAGCAAUCAUGUUGCUCGAGCAUCCUUGAUCCUCAAAUCAACGGCCAUCCUUGUUUUUUUGUUGAAAAUUGUACAGAUUUGGUACAAUUAUGGAGCUGGCAACCUUAUCUUUUAGGGUGGAGAUUUUGAAUUUCGAAUGUGAAAAUUCAUCUUGUUUCCCCAUUUCAAAAUCUACCCCAAUUUUUCAUCUAUAAAUAGCUUUUUCUUCUUCACUGUCUAAGUUGUAUUUGGUUGGAAAAAAAGGUUGCAAGAAAUUUGGGAAAAAUAAUUGGCAAUAACUUGUUGGAGAAAAGAGAUAGAAUAUAACAGAGUUAUAAGCUUAUAUAAAAAAAAUUGAUUUAGAUAAUCUAGGAAAUCUUUUUGGUGAGAACUCUUUAAGUAACUACUCUGAAAGCUUUCAUUCAAGAUUUUUACGUUGAAGCUCGAGUUCCGGGGAAUGUUUGUUCAAUAUAUUCGCCCUAGUUUCAUGGUUUCACUCCAUUAUUUUUAGAAUACAAGGUCUUGGAAAGUACUUCUCCAGCUCGUCGUCUCGAUUCGCUGCCCGGAAAAAGGUAACAUUUUCUCGUUUAUAACAUUCUUCCCAUCUCUUUUUCUAUUUUGAUAUGAUUCUUCCGAUGUCGAAAAGUCUUGCUAUGUGGCUGUCCUAUGUAUUCUGUUUAAACAUCGCUAGUGAUGUUUUAGUUUGAACGUCUAAAUCAGCUCGAUGAUUGGCUCUUCUGUGCUAUAUUGUGUUUUCUUUCAGAUUUUUCAAGUAUUUGCUGAUUACAUGCUGUUGCAAUCUGCUUUCUUAUUCAAGUUUGGUUUCUAUUUAGAAGGGAUUUAAUUCUCAUUUUUGCUUAAACCUUUUUAGCCUAUUGGUCGCUACUUUAUCUCACUCUUCUGGUUUAUCUAAAAUAAGCUACCAUUGUUGUUAUGUUGUGGCUGUCUUUUUUUUAAAUAAUCAACUGAAUCUUAACAAUCUUCAAGUGUAACCUUACUUUCUCAUCUUCAAAGUUACCACAAAAUGAGUCUUAAUGCUUUGUGUCGUUACAGAUUUUUUCAAACAAUUCAUGUUUUUAUUUAUAUGAGUAGUGGAAGUAUAUGCUUGAUAAAAUUUAAAAUUUUGUUUGAAUAUUGUGAUGAAAUAAUUCUUGUUUUUCUCCUGAAUAUUGCGGCCAUGACUUAAGCAUUAUCUAAAGUGAUUUUAUCUUUCAUGGUAGUUAGAAUUCACAUAAUAAUCUGCCCUCUUAUUUAGUUUUCUAUGUUAAUCUCUUCUGGUAAAUUUCAUGUUAGUUUUGUUAGUUAGUGUUGAUAACUUUAUCAAGGGCACAGUACAUGAAUACAUUCUCCAGUACUUCCAGUUUGGCUCAAAAAUGGAUAUUGACACAUGUGAUUAUUUUUUCUUUCGAUUUUCUUUAAGUUGUACUCUUUUUCUCCAUUUUGCUAUUUCUAUGUUGGUUAUUAAUUAACAUACUAUUAAUCUUAAGUGACUACAAUGUAUAUCUUAUUUAUUUUAUUUUCUUUAUAUAUUAUUUGUUUAUUUAUUUUCUUCUGUAAAGGUUGUUGUCCAGUAUGCUCCUGUAUGAUUCCCUUUAGUGGGAUUGUUCGUUAGUAUGCAUCUUUUAAAAGAUGUGUAUUUUCCAUUAAGUUAGUUUGUUCUUCUUGCAUUUAUGUUAGUUGGAUUAUAUAUUAACUCCUUUCAUUUACUUUGUGGCAUGUGAAAUCCUCUUGGGUUUGCCAUGAACUCUUAUCUCCUUCUCUUGCAUUUUGGAUGAGCCAUAAAGGCUUAAAUUUCCUUAUCGAGACAAGCCCCUUUAAUACCGACGAACAGGUUUCAAAAAUGAAGAAUUCGAAGCAAGUUGAAGAGUUGAAGAAGUUGGGAUUAGAAGACCCCAACUCAUUUUUUCUGAUUUUGUAUUUUUGUUUGUAAUGGGCCUAAGCCAUUGUCGUCUUUUACUUUUCUGUAUUUACCUUGUAUUAUUAUUUGCUUGGUCUGAGCAGGUACGAAAGGAAGAAAAAUGGGUCAAAAACCCAAAAUAGGUGGGUCCAAAAACCGGUCAAGGCGAACAUAACCCGGAUUUGGGACCAAAUCUCUUUCCCCCUCUCUUAUUUCUUGUUUCUUAUUUAAUUUAUUCGUUAAUUAGUUUUAAGUCAAUAAACUUCCAAAUCCCCACAAACGCCGUUUUUUUAAACAACUUAAAAGAAAAUCAAGUUUAAGUAGUUUUCAAAAUAAUUUCUUCAAGUUAGGUAUUUCACUUAGUUAAAAGUUAGACAUUAAAUUUUAAACAACUCUAAAAAUAUUUUUAUCGCAAUUUUAAGUCUUAGCCAAACUAAAUUAGUUGUUGGAAAACCACGUGUUAGCGGAAGUCUUAGGUGCUUUCAAGACCUUUCUAAAACAUUAAUAUGAAUCCCCUAACCCUUUAAAUUAUUUUAAAAUCAAUUUAAUCUGUUUAAGUCUUUUGAAAAUAAAGGUUUUCUUAAUUUUCUCAAAAUUAAGUGCAAAAUUAAGUGGCGACUCUAAUAAGUCAUAAAUUCUUACAAAAUAAAUAAACAAACAAAUAAAUAUUUUUCUGAAAUCGAGUAAAACAAAUCAUAUUUCCUAAAACAGUGAAAUAUAUAUCCUAAAUUCUAUGUCUAAACAUAUGGUGAUAUUUCACCCAAAUUUUAACCCAAAUAAUAUUUGCCAGAAAUAUAUGGAAACCUAUGGCCAAACACUAGCUAGAUUUUAUGAAACCCUUAUCUAGGUGGUCUUUCGCUUCUCUUUCAAAUCCUUAAGCUCCGCAAGAGUCAUUUUGUAAGAAGGAAUAGAAAUAGGUUGAGUAUUCGGAAGAAGAUCCAUUUCAAAGUCAAUUUCCCAUUUGGGAGGAACUUCGAGAAGAUCUCCCCGAAAUACUUCUAGGAAUUUAUUAACCAUAUGAACUAACUUAAGAGUUGGUGUUUCGGAGUUUGAAUUCCUAACUCGAACGAAAUGAUAGAAAUAAAGAUAAGAGAUCAUCAAUCUGGCCUUAAGGUAAGAAAUGGAUCGACCCGUGGGUGUUGUCCUACUACCCUUCAAUUCUAAGAUUUGCUCAUUUAAAAACAUAAAACUAACGAUCGUGGUUCAACAAUCGACUAAGGUAUAAUAGGAAUGUAACCAAACCAUGCCUAGAAUAAUAUAAAAGUCUACCAUUUCUAACUCUACAAGGUCUACUAAGGUGACUUUCUAUAAAACUAUGAUGGGGAAAUUUCUAUAUAUUCGUCUAGCUAUUACUGGGUCACCAACUAGAGUAGAGUCUGAGAAGGUUUCAGAAAGAUUUUAUGGACUGAAAUCGAAGUUUACUACUAUAUAAGGGGUUAUGAAGGAAAAGGUAGCCCCCAGAUCUAACAAAGAAUAAACAUCUAAAUGAAAGACUUGCAACGUAAUAGUAUCCACAUCAGGUGAAUCUUAUUGAUCCCGGCAAGCCUGGAGAGCAUACAACCUGUUCUGGAGCAGGCCUCCAGCUGUAGGAGAUUUAGUACCCUACUUAUGUGGGUGAGCUGCUGGUGCUAUUGAAGUUGUAGAUUGAGCCCUACUAUUAUUACCUCCUUGUACCUGUUUAGAAGAAGAGAAACCCCUCAAUCUUUGACCACUCUGACCACACUUAAAACAUCCAUCCUUUCCUACAAGCCACUCGCCUGGAUGAUUCUUACCACACUUUGGACAAGUUUGGUAGUAACUGAAACACUUUCAUGAGAAUUAGAGCCUGAUUCCCUAUCUUUAUGGUCCUAUCGAAAACUUGAGGAUGGAACACUAGCUGAUGAAGGUGUUAAGGCUGAAGAAUUCUACUGAAAUUGCGAGCGAAUUCUACCACCCGAUUUCUAUUGUGAGUACUCAUAGUUUCCUAUCCUAGACUUCGUAUUAUCCUUAGCCUUCUCCCUAAGCUUAUCUCCCUCAACCUACUGAGCAUGAGACAUGAUCUUACUGAUGUUCAUAUAAUCCAACAAUAUAUCAUUUCGGCACUCUGUUUUUCACCAAGUCGUAUACCCCAAAUAGGAACUUACUUAUUUGCGCCUUGGAAUCGACAACCAUAUGUAGGUGUGGGAGUAAAUACCAAAAAAUCAAACCGAACCAAAAUUUUUUGGUUUUUUCGAUGUCAAUUCUUCGGUGUUUCAGUUCGGUGUUGGUUUCUUGUUUGAAACUUUGGUUCUUCGAUUUGGAGUUUGGUCCAAGGGUCCCAAAACUAUGGUGCACCGAAGAUCUGAAGUUUCAUUUUAUAAAUUUUAUAAUUUUUAAAUUAUAUUACAUAAUUAAUAAUGCUUAUAUAUUUUUGAAUUUGACACAAAAUAUUUACAUUUUAAAAAUGAAUUUACAACACUAGAUAGUAAGUCAGUAACUAAAAUUAAAAUCACUAAAUAUAAUUGUAAAGUGUAAAACCUAAUUCCUAAAGCCCCAAAUAUUCAAAACUUUCUUCAGCUUUCUCGUCUCAAAGACUUAUACUGAGAAGCGCCGACCGCCUUCUCAUCUUCUCGUCUUCAAUAGUUAAUCUUCUCGCCUUAGAAGCUUAGACCAUCGUUGUCCACCGACGUCGAAAAAUGGUUUAUGGUAAGACAUUGAUGAUGAACUAUGAAGGAGACUUGGUUUCGGUCGUUGAUGUUUUUUGAAGAAGUCUUGGAUCCUUUGAUCAUCCAAGAAGGGUAGGUCCGCCUUUUCCGAGGACGUUGCCACUAUCUAGAUUGUGGAGUUGUUAUGAGUUUAAGACUCUUUCUUUUAAUUCCUUUCAAUUAAGUACUAUACAUUAGUAUCACCUAUAUGUGGUCUUGUUGGAUCGAUGUAUGGGCACGACCAAAAUUUGAUACACUCUUAGUAGAUGGUUUUUAGAUGAGAUGACUAUUAUGACUUUGUUA
Solanum pennellii is the source of this 4951-nucleotide long non-coding RNA. RefSeq lists it as uncharacterized. The record is from RefSeq and is a predicted model, not a curated record. The transcript is spliced from 3 exons. Lineage: Eukaryota; Viridiplantae; Streptophyta; Magnoliopsida; Solanales; Solanaceae.